UGAGGAAUAUUGGGCAAUGCCCGCAAGGGUGACCCAGCAACGCCGCGUGGAGGAUGAAUGUCGUAAGAUUGUAAACUCCUGUUAGAGGGGAAGAAUAGUACCGGUUGGACCGGUAUAUGACUGUACCCUCAGAGAAAGCCCUGGCUAACUACGUGCCAGCAGCCGCGGUAAUACGUAGGGGGCAAGCGUUGUCCGGAUUUACUGGGUGUAAAGGGCGCGCAGGCGGGAUAAAAAGUCAGUGGUGAAAUCCUACAGCUUAACUGUAGAACUGCCCUUGAUACUUUUAUUCUGGAGUUCGGCAGAGAGAGACGGAAUUCCAGGUGUAGUGGUGAAAUACGUAGAUAUCUGGAAGAACACCAGUUGCGAAGGCGGUCUCUUGGUCCGAUACUGACGCUGAGGCGCGAAAGCGUGGGG
This 414-nucleotide ribosomal RNA is filed under the name uncultured bacterium. RNAcentral describes it as "bacterial SSU rRNA". It matches the Rfam family "Bacterial small subunit ribosomal RNA", at positions 355 to 766 of the family's 1533-position model. The record is from RNAcentral.